This 506-nucleotide ribosomal RNA is filed under the name uncultured bacterium. Its description in RNAcentral is "partial 16S ribosomal RNA". It matches the Rfam family "Bacterial small subunit ribosomal RNA", at positions 29 to 523 of the family's 1533-position model. The record is from RNAcentral.
AGUGAACGCUGGCGGUAGGCCUAACACAUGCAAGUCGAACGGCAGCACAGGAGAGCUUGCUCUCUGGGUGGCGAGUGGCGGCCGGGUGAGGAAUACAUCGGAAUCUACUUUUUCGUGGGGGAUAACGUAGGGAAACUUACGCUAAUACCGCAUACGACCUACGGGUGAAAGCAGGGGACCUUCGGGCCUUGCGCGAUUGAAUGAGCCGAUGUCGGAUUAGCUAGUUGGCGGGGUGAAGGCCCACCAAGGCGACGAUCCGUAGCUGGUCUGAGAGGAUGAUCAGCCACACUGGAACUGAGACACGGUCCAGACUCCUACGGGAGGCAGCAGUGGGGAAUAUUGGACAAUGGGCGCAAGCCUGAUCCAGCCAUACCGCGUGGGUGAAGAAGGCCUUCGGGUUGUAAAGCCCUUUUGUUGGGAAAGAAAUCCAGCCCGCUAAUACCUGGUUGGGAUGACGGUACCCAAAGAAUAAGCACCGGCUAACUUCGUGCCAGCAGCCGCGGUAA